CUUUUGUUAGAACCAUGUGAAUGGCAUUGUUUUUUCUGUAUUGCAAAUUAGUAUUUCUACCACUCUCCCCAGGCCUACACGCCCAGACACACACAUACCCAACCAAAAAAAUCUCCCAAGCUCCUCUCUUAGAAUAUCCUCCGAAUCCUAAAUCUAGAGCUCCAAGGAUGCUGGUCAUUAAGAAAGGUAAUACAAAAGACUUACAGCUAUCUGGAUUCCCAGUAGUAGGAAAUCUUCCGUCACAGCCAGUUAAGAAUGGAACUGGUCCAAGUGUUUAUAAAGGUUUAGUCCCUAAACCUGCUGCUCCACCUACAAAACCUACACAAUGGAAAAGCCAAACAAAAGAAAAUAAAGUUGGAACUUCUUUCCCUCAUGAGUCCACAUUUGGCGUUGGCAACUUUAAUGCUUUUAAAUCAACUGCCAGGAACUUUAGUCCAUCUACAAAUUCAGUGAAAGAGUGUAAUCGCUCAAAUUCCUCUUCUCCUGUUGACAAACUUAAUCAGCAGCCUCGUCUAACCAAACUGACACG
RNAcentral lists this small RNA (529 nucleotides) under Pan troglodytes (chimpanzee). RNAcentral describes it as "retained intron". Lineage: Eukaryota; Metazoa; Chordata; Mammalia; Primates; Hominidae. The record is from RNAcentral.